This 468-nucleotide ribosomal RNA is filed under the name uncultured bacterium. RNAcentral's name for it is "partial 16S ribosomal RNA". It matches the Rfam family "Bacterial small subunit ribosomal RNA", at positions 28 to 507 of the family's 1533-position model. The record is from RNAcentral.
GAUGAACGCUGGCGGCGUGCUUAACACAUGCAAGUCGAACGGAAAGGCCGAAGCUUGCUUCGGUACUCGAGUGGCGAACGGGUGAGUAACACGUGGGUGAUCUGCCCUGUACUUCGGGAUAAGCUUGGGAAACUGGGUCUAAUACCGGAUAUGACGACCUCUUGGAUGGGGUUGUGGAAAGCUUUUGCGGUAUGGGAUGAGCUCGCGGCCUAUCAGCGUGUUGGUGGGGUAAUGGCCUAGCAAGGCGUCGACGGGUAGCCGGCCUGAGAGGGUGUAGGGCCACAUUGGGACUGAGAGACAGCCCAGACUCCUACGGGAGGCAGCAGUGGGGAAUAUUGCACAAUGGGCGCAAGCCUGAUGCAGCGACGCCGCGUGGGGGAUGACGGCCUUCGGGUUGUAAACUCCUUUCGCAAUCGACGAAGCCUUUUGGUGACGGUAGGUUGAGAAGAAGCACCGGCUAACUACGUG